RNAcentral lists this ribosomal RNA (541 nucleotides) under uncultured bacterium. RNAcentral describes it as "bacterial SSU rRNA". It matches the Rfam family "Bacterial small subunit ribosomal RNA", at positions 582 to 1125 of the family's 1533-position model. The record is from RNAcentral.
AUUAGGUCGGCGGCGAAAUAUCAGGGCCAACCUUGAGAGUGCCGUCGAAACCGGUUUUCUUGAGUGCGGAUGAAGUAGGCGGAAUUUGUGGUGUAGCGGUGAAAUGCGUAGAUAUCACAAAGAACACCGAUUGCGGAGGCAGCUUACUAAACCGCAACUGACGCUCAUGCACGAAGGCGUGGGGAUCAAACAGGAUUAGAUACCCUGGUAGUCCACGCAGUAAACGAUGAUUACUAGCUGUUUGCGAUACAAUGUAAGCGGCUGAGCGAAAGCGUUAAGUAAUCCACCUGGGGAGUACGUUCGCAAGAAUGAAACUCAAAGGAAUUGACGGGGGCCCGCACAAGCGGAGGAACAUGUGGUUUAAUUCGAUGAUACGCGAGGAACCUUACCCGGGCUUGAAAUGCAUCUGACCGGGCCGGAAACGGUCUUUCCCAGCGAUGGGCAGAUGUGUAGGUGCUGCAUGGUUGUCGUCAGCUCGUGCCGUGAGGUGUCGGCUUAAGUGCCAUAACGAGCGCAACCCUCAUCGUCAGUUACCAUCGGG